Lupinus angustifolius (narrow-leaved blue lupine) is the source of this 365-nucleotide ribosomal RNA. It matches the Rfam family "Bacterial small subunit ribosomal RNA". The record is from Rfam. Lineage: Eukaryota; Viridiplantae; Streptophyta; Magnoliopsida; Fabales; Fabaceae.
GUCAAGUAGCCAGACUAAUAAGUAAGGAUACUUCAAGGAAGACGAAAACAUAAGCAUCGGUUAACUCUGUGUCAGCAGCCGUGGUAAGACAGAGGAUGCAUGUGUUAUCCAGAAUGAUUGGGCAUAAAGCGUCUAUAGGUGGCAUUUUAAGUUCGCAAUCAAAUCCUAGGGCUCAACCCUAGAAGGCAGUGGAAACUACCAAACUGGAGUAGAGUACGGGCAGAAGGAAUUUCCAAUGGAGCGGUGAAAUGCAUAAAGAUCAGAAAGAACACCAACGACAAAAACACUUUGUUGGGCUGAUAAACCCUAAACCUUAAACACCCAAACAACCCCCCUAAACCAUAACGAACAAGAUGAUUUAUUUU